Molecule: ribosomal RNA, 395 nt
Filed under: uncultured bacterium
Lineage: Bacteria
Description: bacterial SSU rRNA
Rfam family: Bacterial small subunit ribosomal RNA
Source: RNAcentral
AGCGAACGUUUGCGGCGGGCCUAACACAUGCAAGUCGAACGGGCUAGCAAUAGUCAGUGGCGCACGGGUGCGUAACACGUGGGUAAUCAACCCUUCAGCUCGGGAUAACGCCUUGAAAGGGGCGCUAAUACCGGAUGCGACGCGAGGAGCCUCGGCGCUUCGCGGGAAGAUUCGCAAGGAUCACUGAAGGACGAGCCUGCGGCCCACUCAGCUAGUUGGUGAGGUAAGAGCUCACCAAGGCGAAGACGGGUAGGCUGGUCUGAGAGGAUGAUCAGCCACACUGGAACUGAGACACGGUCCAGACUCCUACGGGAGGGCAGCAGUGGGGAAUAUUGCGCAAUGGGCGAAAGCCUGACGCAGCCACGCCGCGUGAGCGAUGAAGGCCUUCGGUCGGU